This 508-nucleotide ribosomal RNA is filed under the name uncultured bacterium. Its description in RNAcentral is "partial 16S ribosomal RNA". It matches the Rfam family "Bacterial small subunit ribosomal RNA", at positions 28 to 523 of the family's 1533-position model. The record is from RNAcentral.
GAUGAACGCUAGCUACAGGCUUAACACAUGCAAGUCGAGGGGAAACGAUAUUGGAAGCUUGCUUCCGAUAGGCGUCGACCGGCGCACGGGUGAGUAACGCGUAUCCAGCCUGCCCACCACUUGGGGAUAACCUUGCGAAAGUAAGACUAAUACCCAAUGAUAUCUCUAGAAGACAUCUGAAGGAGAUUAAAGAUUUAUCGGUGAUGGAUGGGGACGCGUCUGAUUAGCUUGUUGGCGGGGUAACGGCCCACCAAGGCGACGAUCAGUAGGGGUUCUGAGAGUAAGGUCCCCCACAUUGGAACUGAGACACGGUCCAAACUCCUACGGGAGGAAGCAGUGAGGAAUAUUGGUCAAUGGACGAGAGUCUGAACCAGCCAAGUAGCGUGCAGGAUGACGGCCCUAUGGGUUGUAAACUGCUUUUAUAAGGGAAUAAAGUGAGCCUCGUGAGGCUUUUUGCAUGUACCUUAUGAAUAAGGACCGGCUAAUUCCGUGCCAGCCGCCGCCGUAA